UGGGGAAUUUUGGACAAUGGGCGAAAGCCUGAUCCAGCAAUGCCGCGUGUGUGAAGAAGGCCUUCGGGUUGUAAAGCACUUUUGUCCGGAAAGAAAUCCUUGGCUCUAAUACAGUCGGGGGAUGACGGUGCCGGAAGAAUAAGCACCGGCUAACUACGUGCCAGCAGCCGCGGUAAUACGUAGGGUGCAAGCGUUAAUCGGAAUUACUGGGCGUAAAGCGUGCGCAGGCGGUUUGCUAAGACCGAUGUGAAAUCCCCGGGCUCAACCUGGGAACUGCAUUGGUGACUGGCAGGCUAGAGUAUGGCAGAGGGGGGUAGAAUUCCACGUGUAGCAGUGAAAUGCGUAGAGAUGUGGAGGAAUACCGAUGGCGAAGGCAGCCCCCUGGGCCAAUACUGACGCUCAUGCACGAAAGCGUGGGGAGCAAACAGGAUUAGAUACCCUGGUAGUCCACGCCCUAAACGAUGUCAACUAGUUGUUGGGGAUUCAUUUCCUUAGUAACGUAGCUAACGCGUGAAGUUGACCGCCUGGGGAGUACGGUCGCAAGAUUAAAAGCUC
This 555-nucleotide ribosomal RNA is filed under the name uncultured bacterium. RNAcentral's name for it is "partial 16S ribosomal RNA". It matches the Rfam family "Bacterial small subunit ribosomal RNA", at positions 355 to 902 of the family's 1533-position model. The record is from RNAcentral.